UAUGGCCAUAUCACGCUGAAUUACUGGUUCCCAUACGAUCUCCGAGGUUAAGCAAUGUUGAGUCUGGUCAGUACCAGGAUUACUUGGGAAUAACUGGUGCUGUAAG
Acanthosepion pharaonis is the source of this 106-nucleotide non-coding RNA. The record is from the annotation of a GenBank genome assembly. Lineage: Eukaryota; Metazoa; Mollusca; Cephalopoda; Sepiida; Sepiidae.